RNAcentral lists this ribosomal RNA (200 nucleotides) under uncultured bacterium. RNAcentral describes it as "partial 16S ribosomal RNA". It matches the Rfam family "Bacterial small subunit ribosomal RNA", at positions 29 to 258 of the family's 1533-position model. The record is from RNAcentral.
AACGAACGCUGGCGGCAGGCUUAACACAUGCAAGUCGAACGCCCCGCAAGGGGAGUGGCAGACGGGUGAGUAACGCGUGGGAAUCUACCUAGUUCUACGGAACAACACAGGGAAACUUGUGCUAAUACCAUAUACGCCCUACGGGGGAAAGAUUUAUCGGAAUUAGAUGAGCCCGCGUAAGAUUAGCUAGUUGGUGGGGU